RNAcentral lists this ribosomal RNA (737 nucleotides) under uncultured bacterium. Its description in RNAcentral is "bacterial SSU rRNA". It matches the Rfam family "Bacterial small subunit ribosomal RNA", at positions 84 to 806 of the family's 1533-position model. The record is from RNAcentral.
UAAGAAGUUGAGUGGCGGACGGGUGAGUAACACGUGGGUAACCUGCCUAAAAGAAGGGGAUAACACUUGGAAACAGGUGCUAAUACCGUAUAUCUCUAAGGAUCGCAUGAUCCUUAGAUGAAAGAUGGUUCUGCUAUCGCUUUUAGAUGGACCCGCGGCGUAUUAACUAGUUGGUGGGGUAACGGCCUACCAAGGUGAUGAUACGUAGCCGAACUGAGAGGUUGAUCGGCCACAUUGGGACUGAGACACGGCCCAAACUCCUACGGGAGGCAGCAGUAGGGAAUCUUCCACAAUGGACGCAAGUCUGAUGGAGCAACGCCGCGUGAGUGAAGAAGGUCUUCGGAUCGUAAAACUCUGUUGUUAGAGAAGAACACGAGUGAGAGUAACUGCUCAUUCGAUGACGGUAUCUAACCAGCAAGUCACGGCUAACUACGUGCCAGCAGCCGCGGUAAUACGUAGGUGGCAAGCGUUGUCCGGAUUUAUUGGGCGUAAAGGGAACGCAGGCGGUCUUUUAAGUCUGAUGUGAAAGCCUUCGGCUUAACCGGAGUAGUGCAUUGGAAACUGGAAGACUUGAGUGCAGAAGAGGAGAGUGGAACUCCAUGUGUAGCGGUGAAAUGCGUAGAUAUAUGGAAGAACACCAGUGGCGAAAGCGGCUCUCUGGUCUGUAACUGACGCUGAGGUUCGAAAGCGUGGGUAGCAAACAGGAAUUAGAUACCCUGGGUAGUCCACGCCGUAAA